CCUGGUAUCGUGGGAUAACAUCUCGAAAGGGGUGCUAAUACCGGAUAAGCCCACGGGAUCUUCGGAUUCUGCGGGAAAAGGUGGCCUCUAUUUAUAAGCUACUGUAUCAGGAUGGGUCCGCGUACCAUUAGCUAGUUGGUGGGGUAAUGGCCUACCAAGGCUACGAUGGUUAGCUGGUCUGAGAGGAUGAUCAGCCACACUGGAACUGAGACACGGUCCAG
This 221-nucleotide ribosomal RNA is filed under the name uncultured bacterium. RNAcentral's name for it is "partial 16S ribosomal RNA". It matches the Rfam family "Bacterial small subunit ribosomal RNA", at positions 130 to 334 of the family's 1533-position model. The record is from RNAcentral.